ACUCCUACGGGAGGCAGCAGUAGGGAAUAUUGGUUCAAUGGGCGAAAGCCUGAACCAGCCCAUGCCGCGUGUCAGAUGAAGGUCCUCUGGAUUGUAAAUGACUUUUCUACGGGAAGAAUGAGCCGUCUGCGGACGGAAGUUGACGGUACCGUAGGAAUAAGCACCGGCUAACUACGUGCCAGCAGCCGCGGUAAUACGUAGGGGUGCAAGCGUUGUCCGGAUUUACUGGGUUUAAAGGGUACGUAGGCGGUUGUGCCAAGUCUGGGGUGAAAGUUUGCAGCUCAACUGUAAAAUUGCCUUGGAUACUGGUCGGCUAGAGUAGUGGAGCGGUGGCUGGAAUUUAUAGUGUAGCGGUGAAAUGCUUAGAUACUAUGAGGAACACCAAUUGCGAAGGCAGGUCACUGGUCACUAACUGACGCUGAAGGUACGAAAGUGUGGGGAUCAAACAGGAUUAGAUA
RNAcentral lists this ribosomal RNA (458 nucleotides) under uncultured bacterium. Its description in RNAcentral is "bacterial SSU rRNA". It matches the Rfam family "Bacterial small subunit ribosomal RNA", at positions 335 to 784 of the family's 1533-position model. The record is from RNAcentral.